This 465-nucleotide ribosomal RNA is filed under the name uncultured Klebsiella sp. Its description in RNAcentral is "bacterial SSU rRNA". It matches the Rfam family "Bacterial small subunit ribosomal RNA", at positions 338 to 795 of the family's 1533-position model. The record is from RNAcentral. Lineage: Bacteria; Pseudomonadati; Pseudomonadota; Gammaproteobacteria; Enterobacterales; Enterobacteriaceae.
CCUACGGGGGGCAGCAGUGGGGAAUAUUGCACAAUGGGCGCAAGCCUGAUGCAGCCAUGCCGCGUGUGUGAAGAAGGCCUUCGGGUUGUAAAGCACUUUCAGCGGGGAGGAAGGCGGUGAGGUUAAUAACCUCAUCGAUUGACGUUACCCGCAGAAGAAGCACCGGCUAACUCCGUGCCAGCAGCCGCGGUAAUACGGGAGGGUGCAAGCGUUAAUCGGAAUUACUGGGCGUAAAGCGCACGCAGGCGGUCUGUCAAGUCGGAUGUGAAAUCCCCGGGCUCAACCUGGGAACUGCAUUCGAAACUGGCAGGCUAGAGUCUUGUAGGGGGGGUAGAAUUCCAGGUGUAGCGGUGAAAUGCGUAGAGAUCUGGAGGAAUACCGGUGGCGAAGGCGGCCCCCUGGACAAAGACUGACGCUCAGGUGCGAAAGCGUGGGGAGCAAACAGGAUUAGAUACCCUAGUAGUC